Molecule: ribosomal RNA, 98 nt
Filed under: Salvator merianae (Argentine black and white tegu)
Lineage: Eukaryota; Metazoa; Chordata; Lepidosauria; Squamata; Teiidae
Source: RNAcentral
CCUAUUGGUGACAUUGUUUAAUCUCAGAAACUAAGCAUGACUAAGUCCAAUUAGUACUUGGAUGGGGGACCAUCCAGGAAUAUCAGAUAUCAUUGGUU